AUGCAAGUCGAACGGUGAAGCCCAGCUUGCUGGGUGGAUCAGUGGCGAACGGGUGAGUAACACGUGAGCAACCUGCCCUCCACUUCGGGAUAAGCCUUGGAAACGGGGUCUAAUACCGGAUAUGAGCAUCUGCCGCAUGGUGGGUGUUGGAAAGUUUUUCGGUGGGGGAUGGGCUCGCGGCCUAUCAGCUUGUUGGUGGGGUGAUGGCCUACCAAGGCGUCGACGGGUAGCCGGCCUGAGAGGGCGACCGGCCACACUGGGACUGAGACACGGCCCAGACUCCUACGGGAGGCAGCAGUGGGGAAUAUUGCACAAUGGGCGAAAGCCUGAUGCAGCGACGCCGCGUGAGGGAUGACGGCCUUCGGGUUGUAAACCUCUUUCAGCAGGGAAGAAGGCCUUCGGGUGGACGGUACCUGCAGAAGAAGCGCCGGCUAACUACGUGCCAGCAGCCGCGGUAAUACGUAGGGCGCAAGCGUUGUCCGGAAUUAUUGGGCGUAAAGAGCUCGUAGGCGGUCUGUCGCGUCUGGUGUGAAAACCCGAGGCUCAACCUCGGGCUUGCAUCGGGUACGGGCAGACUAGAGUGCGGUAGGGGAGACUGGAAUUCCUGGUGUAGCGGUGGAAUGCGCAGAUAUCAGGAGGAACACCGAUGGCGAAGGCAGGUCUCUGGGCCGCAACUGACGCUGAGGAGCGAAAGCAUGGGGAGCGAACAGGAUUAGAUACCCUGGUAGUCCAUGCCGUAAACGUUGGGCACUAGGUGUGGGGCUCAUUCCACGAGUUCCGUGCCGCAGCUAACGCAUUAAGUGCCCCGCCUGGGGAGUACGGCCGCAAGGCUAAAACUCAAAGGAAUUGACGGGGGCCCGCACAAGCGGCGGAGCAUGCGGAUUAAUUCGAUGCAACGCGAAGAACCUUACCAAGGCUUGACAUGCACCGGACGCUGCCAGAGAUGGUGGUUCCGCAAGGUCGGUGCACAGGUGGUGCAUGGUUGUCGUCAGCUCGUGUCGUGAGAUGUUGGGUUAAGUCCCGCAACGAGCGCAACCCUCGUCCCAUGUUGCCAGCGGGUUAUGCCGGGGACUCAUGGGAGACUGCCGGGGUCAACUCGGAGGAAAGGCGGGGAUGACGUCAAAUCAUCAUGCCCCUUAUGUCUUGGGCUUCACGCAUGCUAC
This 1163-nucleotide ribosomal RNA is filed under the name Isoptericola halotolerans. RNAcentral describes it as "bacterial SSU rRNA". It matches the Rfam family "Bacterial small subunit ribosomal RNA", at positions 55 to 1228 of the family's 1533-position model. Lineage: Bacteria; Bacillati; Actinomycetota; Actinomycetes; Micrococcales; Promicromonosporaceae. The record is from RNAcentral.